Molecule: long non-coding RNA, 1062 nt
Organism: Neltuma alba
Lineage: Eukaryota; Viridiplantae; Streptophyta; Magnoliopsida; Fabales; Fabaceae
Exons: 3
Source: RefSeq, a predicted model, not a curated record
UUCUUUGGUUUCCUCUUCAAAGUUUAGAUUCUACUCCGUUUUGUCAGCCUCCUUUAUGUUCAUCGUCAGCGUUCAGAUUUGUCACUGGGUAGCUUCUUGGCAUUCUAUUUCUUGUUUUCAUCUUCUGGUUCAGAUUCCCUUUUAGAUUUCAUUUUAUUUGUGGGUUACUUUUUAUUUCAAGGUUCAGAUCUCCCUUCUAGUUUUGUUGAAAAUAUUUCUACUGGUACUAAGUGACUGCCUUUUAGUACUACCUUGACUAGUGACAUUGCACAGGAUUAGUACUUCAUUUGGUUGAUUGGAUUCUCUGCAAGUCAUUCUGGGAGAUGGAAAAUGAGGGUUGGAUUAUAAUAAUUUGACAUACAGCAGCUCCUUUGAUAGAGUUAGAUAGAGGUCUAGUGGCAACCCAAACACAAGUUGUAGAACUAUUCAAGUAAGGUGCAUUCUCAUGGUAUAGGAGUUCAUACCACGCAAAUGGUCUUACCAUUGGAAAUUGCAGAGGACCCUGUUUACAUUAAUGCCAAGCAGUACCAUGGAAUUCUGAGGCAUAGGCAAUUACGUGCCAAAGCAGAGCUGGAAAAGAAGCUAAUUAAAGGAAGGAAGGUAUUCUGGCAAUGUAUAGCCGAUAUGGUUUCCUUUUGUUAUGUUUGCCCCGACUAAAUGUAGAAUACGACUUGGUCAAACAUUUUCUCAAUGUCGACAUAAAAAAGGAUGCUAUGAGAACAAACACUUAUAUAGUUAAAAGCCACAUCCAAUAUGCCCUGGGCUGGGAGGGUGACGAUGGCAGUAAGUUGUGCUUGUUGCCAAUUUCUGUUUUGCAUUACUUAUUAUGCCUUUUUCUUCAUACUUGAGGCUUCGUGUAGGACUAUCAGAAUGAGCAAAGUGAUAUGAGUGGCUCAUUUUGCAUUACUUAUUAUGCCUUUUUCUUCAUACUUGAGGUUUUAACCUUAAUGUUCUUAAAUUUAUGACAUUUUAUUGUAUGGGAUUAUUUUUAAAUUCCAAAUUGUUUCUUAUAAAAAAAAUUGAACUAUUUGCAGUUUAAAAACUUUACUUAUUAUCAUGAAA